AGCAAAUAUUCGGGUCAGUAAUUAAUCCCAAAUACGUACGUACACAGAGGAAGGCAAAUAAUAUGUUGUGGCUACGGUAGUUCAAAUUCUACUCAAAUUUAUUUACAACUUGGCGGCGAAUGUUGGUUUUUACCUUAUGGGCCAAAAGCGACAUUCUUCAUCAAUUGAUGGGGAGGACGAGGAGCAGUUAUCACUGCACCCACACAAAAUGUUCAAUGACAAGCAAAUGAAAAGACACAAAACGAUGACAGAGAACACAGAGUGAGAGAGAGAGAGAGAGGAGAGAGAAAGGGAGAAAUGAAAGACACAGAGCACAAUGUAUAGAAAGAGCACAAAGUAUAGGGAGCACAACAUGGACGAUAUGGAUGAUAGCGCAUGAUCUUGAGAGCAUGAGGAUUCAAAGAAGCAUGGGACAAGGUCUACACGAGCAUGCAGGCCAGGGCCUCCUUCCCCGCCUCCUACUUACAGCGAGUCCGCGUGACUGCCGUUGUUCACCUCUAGGCUGCUCUGGGUGUUCUUCUUCCGGAUGCCGGGUCGCAGGAAGCUUUCGCCGAAGAGGUCGCGUUCUCGAUGGGCGCCACUCUUCGCCUGCUGCGUGGGCGGAACUGUGUGAGGGUACUUGCCGUCACUGUCAGAGUCCAUCGACAGCUGGCCAAACAGGUCCUCCAGGAGCAUAUUGGCCUUAGCAUUGCGCUGGCGUUUGGCGGAGGUUUUCAGCUUGGAGCUACACGAAAGACAAAGUCACAUGUCGUUUCCGUCUAUUCACAAAAAACUCACCCGAGUAUCUGGUCCAGAUCGUCAGACCUCACCUUGGAUUCCUGCGCGGUCGGACGGGAUCGCGCGGACAACCGAAUGCCGGCUCCAUUGAGUACUCCCUCACCCAACAUGGAUGACGCUUCAUAGGAGGGAUGUUGAUGCUGCUGUUGCUGUGGCUGGCGCACGAUUAAGCUGGGCGGGGCUUGGUUGGCGCUCACCUUAGAGAACACGUUGUAGACCUUGGAAUCAGGGGCCAAGACGGAGUUGCGUGUCACCGGUACAUAGUAGCCACCGUUGGUGCCAGCUGCGCCAACAACGAGCUUGGGAUUGUUUUUGGUAUUCUUGUUGGCCGUGUCGUAGCUCAGCUGGCUUCCAUUCACAUAAAUGGCUCCAGCGUUGCGGGACAUGGUGUUGCUGAAGGAGACAUUCGGGUGGUACAAAUGCUGCUGAGAUCCCUCUGCUGCGGGCAAUCCAAAAAGCUGGGCAAUGUUGCGAUUCAAGUAGAUGUCGUUGAUGGAUUCACCUCCGUUCUGUGGCUGGUGCUGUGUCUGGCGUUGAUCUCCUGUGGGUCCGACCAGGCUGGAAGAAUCUGCCAGGGAUUGCGGGAUCGAUCCUCCCCCAGCAACAGGCAUGCCCAUAUCGUGGCUGGUUAAGAAGCUCAGCUUCGGCUGGUACUUUCUCAGGCUCACGUUCUUCGAGAGACCCUUGCCAUUGCUAAGGUUGUUGUUGUUGUUGCUGUUGCCCUGGUGGAUGAGCUCUGUGACAACUUGGAGCUUCUCCUGCACCGGAAGCACGUGGUUUGACACAGUCUGGGUCUGAGGUAGCAGGAGCUGGCCAGAAGAAGCCGCCGCAUACUUGGAGCUGAGGCGAACAUUCGCCUUGGUGGCCGCCGUUGGCGAGAUUCGUUUGAGGGCGUGAAAGUACGGAUACUUGAGGCUCUGCUGGGCCGUGGGACGCUUGUCGGGAUCGUAGGCGAGCAUAUCUUCGAGCAAAUCGAGUCCGUUUUGGCUGCAGCGGCUGACGACGCUGCUUAGUGGCACUUUGAUACAAUCUGGAUAGCGGAAGUGGAUCAUGGACGCCAGUCGGUAACCAUCUGGCCAGUCACCCUGCAAAGCAAUAACAUAUUUUCAGAUUAUAAUGUUCAGCGGUGUUCAGGUGGUGCACUCACCUUCUCUGGCGUACCCAGCACGGAGCAGAUCUUGAACAGCUGGUCCAUCUCGCUGCUACCCGGAAAGAGCGGUCGGAACGUGUACAGCUCUGCCAUGAUGCAGCCCAUUGCCCACAGGUCGAUGGUGCUGCCGUAGUUAGUGGAGUGCAACAGCACCUCUGGCGCCCGAUACCACCGUGUCGACACAUAGUCCGUGAACGGCGGCCUCGACCUGAUCUCCCUUGCUAAGCCGAAGUCGGCUAUUUUGAUCAGCUCUGGGCCAGAACAGAGAAGAUUUUCCGGCUUCAGAUCGCGAUGGAAGAAGCCAUGACGAUGCAUGAAGGCCAGGCCAGUGAGAACCUAUCAAGGAGAUGAGUAACAGAUGGAAAAAGAUCUCAGUGCUUGCUUCCGGCUCACCUGGAAGAGAAUGCUCUUAAGCUCGGGCUCGGGCAGGUGGGUGUCCCGAUCCUUGAUCAUUUGGUAGAGGUUCUCUUUCAUGUAUUCGAACACAAAGUAGAGGGUGUCGUUCUCUCUAAUCACUUCCUUGAGCUUGACGAUGUUCGGAUGCGACAGUUUCUUCAGGGACUGCAAUUGGGGGCACUCAUUUAGGAGGAAUCGAACUCUAGAAAUUGUUUAGAACCCACCUUAACUUCCCGCAGGUUCAUAGCCUCCUCCCAGGAGUAGUACUUGCGUUUCAUUCUCUUUAUGGCCACCUUCUCGCCGGUGUCCUUGCGCUGGCCCAGCACGACGGUGCCGUAGGUGCCGUCCCCCAGUUGGGUCAGCGUUAUGUAUCGGUUCAUGCUUAUUACAAUAGCACUCUUCAAUUCUUCACAUAGUUUCUGGAUGCACCUGCACAAAGAAAUAAACAAAUGAACGAGUUUCGUUUAUGGGCAAGCAAUAAAGGGUUUUUUAUUAUUUAUACACCUCCGCCCACACGGGCAAACCUCAAGCGAAUCUCAGAGUUUGAAUUAAAUGACAUGCACUAAAAAUGGAAUCGAAUCAAAUCGGCCAUGAGCCCGUUGGCCGGACGUGUGUGCCCGAUUCUCGGAUGCCCCCUAUCCAACUGGAAUCAAUAUAUUGAUCCAGAAGCACCAACCGAUAAGCUUGCCCGAAUUUCAUUUGAUUUAACCGAAAAACAACUCUCCGUCAAGGUCACAGAUAUCAACAUUAGCGGAUGGGAUGAGGAUAGGGCGGUGAGUGGUCAGGGUCGACGGGCUUGUAAUUACAGCCUGUUCGACUUUCAAAGGAAAGUACACACAAGUAAA
Molecule: long non-coding RNA, 3168 nt
Organism: Drosophila obscura
Lineage: Eukaryota; Metazoa; Arthropoda; Insecta; Diptera; Drosophilidae
Exons: 3
Source: RefSeq, a predicted model, not a curated record